UACGUAGGUGGCAAGCGUUGUCCGGAUUUACUGGGUGUAAAGGGCGUGUAGGCGGGGCUGCAAGUCAGAAGUGAAAUCUAUGGGCUUAACCCAUAAACUGCUUUUGAAACUGUAGCUCUUGAGUAUCGGAGAGGCAGGCGGAAUUCCUAGUGUAGCGGUGAAAUGCGUAGAUAUUAGGAGGAACACCAGUGGCGAAGGCGGCCUGCUGGACGACAACUGACGCUGAGGCGCGAAAGCGUGGGGAGCAAACAGG
This 253-nucleotide ribosomal RNA is filed under the name Sporobacter termitidis. RNAcentral describes it as "partial 16S ribosomal RNA". It matches the Rfam family "Bacterial small subunit ribosomal RNA", at positions 524 to 776 of the family's 1533-position model. Lineage: Bacteria; Bacillati; Bacillota; Clostridia; Eubacteriales; Oscillospiraceae. The record is from RNAcentral.